This 74-nucleotide transfer RNA is filed under the name Pseudoclavibacter sp. CFCC 11306. RNAcentral describes it as "tRNA-Val". It matches the Rfam family "tRNA". From Rfam's summary of the family: Transfer RNA (tRNA) molecules are approximately 80 nucleotides in length. Their secondary structure includes four short double-helical elements and three loops (D, anti-codon, and T loops). Further hydrogen bonds mediate the characteristic L-shaped molecular structure. tRNAs have two regions of fundamental functional importance: the anti-codon, which is responsible for specific mRNA codon recognition, and the 3' end, to which the tRNAs corresponding amino acid is attached (by aminoacyl-tRNA synthetases). tRNAs cope with the degeneracy of the genetic code in two manners: having more than one tRNA (with a specific anti-codon) for a particular amino acid; and 'wobble' base-pairing, i.e. permitting non-standard base-pairing at the 3rd anti-codon position. RNAcentral also lists the same sequence under 4 other names. The record is from RNAcentral. Lineage: Bacteria; Bacillati; Actinomycetota; Actinomycetes; Micrococcales; Microbacteriaceae.
GGGCCUAUAGCUCAGUUGGUUAGAGCACCUCGUUUACACCGAGGGGGUCGGGGGUUCGAGUCCCUCUGGGCCCA